AUGGAGAGAAGGAGACAACCAGAGACAGCCACAGGUCCAUUCGGUUUCUGCCACCUCCCUGCUGUGUGUUCUGGUCCCCUGGCUGUGAUGGAGGCUGGGGACAGGGAGAGGCCAAGGCAGCUCCAAGGCGAUCCUGGUGUGGACAUGGAGACUCCCGACCCCCGGAGAGAGAAAGGCCAGGAUGUAGGCAGUUCUGCCUCCUCUUCCCAAGACAGAACUGGUGUCUCCCCCUCCUGCCCUGCAUCUCCCUCCAGGUUACAGAGAGCAGAGGCAGCAGGGAGAGGGUGGGGGGCUGGCGCUAAGGGCCAGUCCAAGAGGCUCUCUGUGCCUCCCUUCCCCGUCUCCCCCCACCCCCCAGCAGCCUACUCAGCAAUGUGGAUAACCCCAGGCCCAGCAGGAGCCCCUGACCCAGCCGCAGCAGCCUCCCACCCAGCAUCCUGGCAGCUGCCCUGGCCGCCCGUGGGACCCGCCUGGCGCCGCAGGGAUCAGGCCAGCUGAGGGUUCCGGGCAUGGGUGGAGGGCUCUGCCCAGGGCGGGGAGCCGAGAAACGUGGUGUGGCGAUGGAGACCGGCAAAACCCAGGAGGAAGAGAGCUCCCCGCCCGCUGCCCGCCCCGCAGCUCCCGGCUCAGGCUCUUGGAAGGGCUCCUGGGCACGGCAGGCUGGGGGAGGCCAGGAGAUAAGGGUGCAAGGGCGGGGGAACACAGCCGCUCUGCCCGGCGGCUCCUCACCCCAGCUCAGCUCCAGGCCCUACCGUGUGCCUGGCUCCCGAGGAGGAGAGACCCUGCUGAACCUGGGGGGUGGGGGGGGGGAGAGGAAGUGGAACCCCCCCGGGGGGGGGCUGCUGACCACAGUGCCUUUGGGCGAACUUGCUUCUUCAAGACUCGGCUUGCACCCCUGCAGAGCAGAUGGUUUAGGAAGUCAGGAGUAUCCUUGCCAGUCUAGCCUGGAACCCUCCCCUCUUGAACUUCCCAGGGUCAGGGUAGGAGGCAGAACUUGGCCCUGAGUUGCAAGCUAGCGGCCCACAGGGGCAGGAGACCCCCAAAGGGAAAAUCUGCUGAGAAGGAGAGAACGGGAAAUGUCCCCAGGCUCAGCCCAAUCUGGGCUCCCGCAGCUCAAGCAGGCUUGGGGUGCACAGGGACAGGCUGGCUCAAAGGAGGGGCCCCCUCCUGUCUCCAGGAUGGAGGAGGGAGUGCGGCGAGAGGUCCCGUAACUGGGUUGGAAUUCACUGCCUCAGCCCAGAGUGACAGGAGCUUAGAAUCAAAGGGAAGCGCUCCCAAGCAGCCACCCAGAGAGCCGGCCAGGCGCGGAGACAGGGCUCCUAACCCCUGUUUAUACACAAGGAUCAGAAUAAACCCCAGCGAAGAUGCGGUUGCA
Molecule: long non-coding RNA, 1375 nt
Filed under: Oryctolagus cuniculus (rabbit)
Lineage: Eukaryota; Metazoa; Chordata; Mammalia; Lagomorpha; Leporidae
Description: lncRNA (ENSOCUG00000036340.1)
Source: RNAcentral